AUUUAAGUAGCUUAUAUUAUAGAGCAUAAUAUUGAAGAUAUUAAAGAGAUUAAUUAAAUCCUUAAAUA
Molecule: transfer RNA, 68 nt
Filed under: Phaonia perdita
Lineage: Eukaryota; Metazoa; Arthropoda; Insecta; Diptera; Muscidae
Description: tRNA-Phe
Source: RNAcentral